RNAcentral lists this ribosomal RNA (495 nucleotides) under uncultured bacterium. Its description in RNAcentral is "bacterial SSU rRNA". It matches the Rfam family "Bacterial small subunit ribosomal RNA", at positions 28 to 526 of the family's 1533-position model. The record is from RNAcentral.
GACGAACGCUGGCGGCGUGCUUAACACAUGCAAGUCGAGCGGUAAGGCCCUUCGGGGUACACGAGCGGCGAACGGGUGAGUAACACGUGAGCAACCUGCCCCUGACUCCGGGAUAAGCGGUGGAAACGCCGUCUAAUACCGGAUACGACCCGCCACCUCAUGGUGGAGGGUGGAAAGUUUUAUCGGUCAGGGAUGGGCUCGCGGCCUAUCAGCUUGUUGGUGGGGUAACGGCCUACCAAGGCGAUUACGGGUAGCCGGCCUGAGAGGGCGACCGGCCACACUGGGACUGAGACACGGCCCAGACUCCUGCGGGAGGCAGCAGUGGGGAAUAUUGCACAAUGGGCGAAAGCCUGAUGCAGCGACGCCGCGUGGGGGAUGACGGCCUUCGGGUUGUAAACCUCUUUUACCACCAACGCAGGCUCCACGUUCUCGUGGGGUUGACGGUAGGUGGGGAAUAAGGACCGGCUAACUACGUGCCAGCCGCCGCAGUAAAAC